RNAcentral lists this microRNA precursor (80 nucleotides) under Aquilegia coerulea. RNAcentral's name for it is "Aquilegia caerulea miR395b stem-loop (aqc-MIR395b)". Its record names the gene aqc-MIR395b. Lineage: Eukaryota; Viridiplantae; Streptophyta; Magnoliopsida; Ranunculales; Ranunculaceae. The record is from miRBase by way of RNAcentral.
CCUGGAGUUUCUCCUGCCGCUUCAGGAACGAUCAAUUGCAAAAUUUGUUAUUACUGAAGGGUUUGGAGGAACUCUGGGUG